ACUCUCCAGAUUCCUUAACUGUCAGACCUAAAUAUUGGUCUGAAUGGCUGAAAAAAGGAGGAAAAGUGAAACUGAAGUGGACUUGGAGUCUUUAGUGACAAAUAAGUUUGUUACAAACAUAU
RNAcentral lists this small nucleolar RNA (122 nucleotides) under Echinops telfairi (small Madagascar hedgehog). Its description in RNAcentral is "Small nucleolar RNA SNORA61 (ENSETEG00000025432.1)". Lineage: Eukaryota; Metazoa; Chordata; Mammalia; Afrosoricida; Tenrecidae. The record is from RNAcentral.